Triticum dicoccoides is the source of this 4265-nucleotide long non-coding RNA. RefSeq lists it as uncharacterized. Lineage: Eukaryota; Viridiplantae; Streptophyta; Magnoliopsida; Poales; Poaceae. The transcript has 9 exons. The record is from RefSeq and is a predicted model, not a curated record.
UCUUCCCCUCUCCUCCCGAUGCGGCGCUGCCCCCAUCUCUUGCUCCUCCGCCGCCGCCGCCCCUGCUUCCCCGAUUCACGCAUCUCACCCUCCCUCCUGCACUAGCAUCCGCCGCCGCCAGUGCGUUGGCUGCCUCCCUCCCCCAUCGCCGGCCACCUCUCGCCCCCAUAACCGGUCGCCGCCUCGCCGACGACCCCGCCGCCGGGCAGGAGGAAUGCUUCCACGCCUUCAACCUCCGCAUCCACGACGUCGUCCUACAAGGUCGGCCCCCCAUCCUCCCCACUGCCCGACGAUGCCUCCCCUUCCUCCUGUGUCGCCUCCCUCGACCGUGUAGGCACGUCGACAUAACCUGGACGCCGUCACUGCAUUGAUCAUGUAGAUCAGGGUGCCUGCGACGUGACACAGCCGUUUUCUUCGGCCGAGCACUGAAAAGGGGCUGACGGCUGCAUCGCCAUGCCAUUUGUAGCUCAAGAUUUGUAAGCCGCACAAGGUCAUCUCUGCCGCUUCACUUCUGGGUUGAAGGUCAAGGUCGGCGACCUGUAUGUCCACAAGUUGUCCCAUGGCUGUUCACUGUGGGAUGUGAUCGAGAGGUGAGGCCUCUUUGCCUGUUGAACAGGUGCAGGGCCUCCCGCUUAUUCCUACUUUCUUGCAGUCAAAGGACGGGGUUCGGUGAAACCAGAGCAAACUAAGGUCUAUGGUUAUCUCCCGAAAAAAGGGUGUAUGGUUAUUUUAAUUCCCUGUUCUUUCUUUUAGAAAAGUCACUGUUAUUCGUAGCCAUAUGGUACAUGCAUGUGUGUCAAGUUUCAUUUGUAAUAAAUUACAUUAGCUGAAUUUAAACAGAUUAAGUUUCCUAAUGCAGGGCAAAAGCAUAGUGUAUUCAGUUUGAUAUUGUUCCCGUAUUUAUUUGUUCUGGGCAUAGCUAAACUCUCAAAUUGUAAAAUCAAUUUGUCCAGUUUACAUAUUUUCAAUCAGAAGUCAUCUUGUUUUGUUCAUAAAUUGUGUCAUUUAUAGUUUAACUUAACUCGUCAUGUAAUUAUCUGUUUCUACCUAUUGGAGGGCAUAGCACAUAACCUGUGGGCCAAUGGGCUGAGGUUUUCAAAUGUUAUUUUACCCCUCGUGUCUAUUAUAGGCUAGAUACAUUUCUGCCAUCUUAUUAAGUACUCAGAUUUCUAUUUAAUGAACUCAGAUUUAAAGACAAUAGUCCUUUCCCAAUAAUAAAAGAUGUAUUUUAUGAGGUAGUACAGUCGUAGACUUUUCUUAUGUUCUGAUUUGUCAUUCCACCUCACUGAAAGAGCUUGUAAAUUUGUAAUUGGUUCAACAAAUAGCAUACACUUUCUUUCGGUUUGAAUAGUCUGAACUUUGUAGCUCAGCGGCUACUUUGCGGGUGUAUUUAAAUCUUUUGGCCACACUAGGAAAGGGCAGACUAUUUUAGGUGAUAAGUCGGUUGGUUAAUGUUGUAGUCCCUUUUUUAUUGGAAUGUUUUAUGUUUCUGUACAUUAGUUUUGGUAGAAAAUCCACAUCUACUGUGGCAUCUCUUCCGUUUUUGGUGUUCUCCUGAAAGAGCGAAGGGGCAAAGGGUUUCUUCAGUAUUGCACAAGACUUUGAUCUAUCUGGUUGGUUCUGCUUCAGCUGGGGUUAUUGGCUUAUUGCCGAUGUUUCCCUCUGCUCUAUGGAGGCAGCGGCAUAUGUAGGAUCCUGAAUUGGGGUGUAAAGAGUAAAAGAAAAAAAACUCCACUAGACACGCACAUUUUUCUUUUGAGGGGUACCCAGCCAUGUGCGUAUGCUCGAGCUAUAGAGAAAAAAAUUGUUGCUCACUCUGGAACCCAUUGAUCAAUCGGGGGAAUUGCAGUUCUGGUCUGAUGGCCUUUUACGUGCUAGGCCAGCUGCUUAGUUAAUGGCUUGAGGGGGAAAUAUAAAGGGUGUUAAAUGAUAGGAGGUGGGCAGGGCUGCUUUGCUACAAGGCACUAAAUUUUCAGAUUAUUAUAGCUAGCAAACUACACAUAUAUGUAUAAACCUUGGUCUGCAAUUGGUAGUAGUACUUGUUUGUUACUGAACUUUGAAAUUGGUUUGCGUAAAUUUGGAAUAUGUCUUGACAUAUUUUACUCGGCCGCGGUUCAGCUGUUAGGUUUGCUUCAAAAUUUUACUUUCUGUGAGCAUCACUUUCUUAGGGCAUCUGAUUCCUAACAGCCCUCUAAUGGAAUUCAUUAUGCAUAUGCAUUUCUCAAUAGGGAACAAAGGAAAAACAUCUAUUAUUACUAGGUAAAAAAACGCGGAUGACAAAGUGAACCAAAAGCAGGCUCGAGGUUUCUUGUCCUAAGCACCUGACCUGAGAUAGCUUCUAAAAAAUCCAUAAUCAGAAAGGGUCAAGGAAAAUUCAUAUGAGAUCAGAAUACAGUAGGGCAUUGAUCAAGCGAUUUAUUUAGAGGAGUAUUUUAUUACAUGCGUGUGUAGUACGGGUUGUUGUUUCACAAUAGUUUCCAUGGCCUCUAAGCAUCAUUAUUCAUGUGUGAACUUUCAAUAUUUGUGAUUUUGGUUCUGGUUGCAUAAGAAUUUAUCGAAUGCUUUUAGGAUCCCAGCAAAGAAGGAAGCUAAUAAUGAUGGACAUACCUAGCAUUUUCGGCCCCGGACAUAGGUCCAUUACUCUCUACGAGGGCAUAAAUCAUCAUCCAGAUCCAGAUUCCAUUUUCAGGAAUAAGACCGUCGCACAGCUGGGAUGUGGCAAUGGUUGGAUAUCCAUUGCGCUUGCAGAAAAAUGGUGCCCUUCCAAGGUUGGUGUCUCUUGUCCCGUCCGCUAUCUCAGGAUCCCAGCAAAGAAGGAAGCUAAUAAUGAUGGACAUACCUAGCAUUUUCGGCCCCGGAGAUAGGUCCAUCACUCUCUACGAGGGCAUAAAUCAUCAUCCAGAUCCAGAUUCCAUUUUCAGGAAUAAGAUCGUCGCACAGCUGGGAUGUGGCAAUGGUUGGAUAUCCAUUGCGCUUGCAGAAAAAUGGUGCCCUUCCAAGUUAAUUCAAGGAGGACCCUACAUCUAAAGAUCUUGGUUGCAAAAGUAUAUCAGGAAGAUCUUGGUUGCAAAAGUGAUCAGAUAUACUCCUCUGUACCAAAAUAUAAGACGUUUUUCUCAGUUCAAUUGAACUGCAAAAAUAUCUUAUACUUUCGUAUGGAGGGAGUAAUAGUCAACACAACCAGGCGGGGGCACAUGCCAUUUUUUCUCCUUCACCAUGGACCCUGAAUUUGCUGAACUCUGGGCGUGUCGAUGGGCUGCUCAGCUUACAUGUGAACUGGACGUGGCAAAGCUUAUCCUGGAGACGAACUCAAAGCUAUGAAAAUUCAUGUAUACUGAUUAUCGAGCAUUAUGAGCAAGGGACGGGGGUACAAGGCAUGGUCUGCGGCGCCGCACCUUGUUGUUCCCUGCCGGUGGCGGGCGAGCUGCAGUGGCGCUUCUCUGUUGCGUGGCGAGGGACGGGGGCGGAAGGUGUGCAUCUGCAGUGCCACUCCUAGGGCAUGCCUCUCCGGCGACAUUGCCGGCGUACACAACAUACCUUACUACACGGGGAUUUCAUCUCUGAACUAAAUAUUACGUCCGAAGACUGAAACAUCCAGAAGAUUUAUUGAGACUAUUCAUUGAUGGUCUUUCUCUACUACACGAGGAAGGCCUGAGGUAGACAAACAUAACAACUGAUGAAAGAAGAACAUAUUUGUACCUUGUUGCCCGCUGACUAUAUGCAUGGUUGAAUUGUAGUAUGUGUGAUACAUGAGAAUAAUGUAAUAUGAAGUGAAACAUGGUGGAUAGGGCUUCGUGAAUGAGCUGGCGGAGAAGAUGUCAGUGGUGGAAGCGGAGAUGUUAUAGAAGAUGUUGCGGGCGGUACCGGAGGAAAUGGCCAAAUGGGGUUCCUCGGAGCCGACAAGAAGGAUGCUGCAGCGGCACAUAUUGGUUUCCAUUUCCAUCCAGAGAAGAACUUAUGAACGAAGAGAUAUCCUAGAAGUUGAGUGCAGUUGGAGGGGCCUCAGUCCUUUUGAGCCAAGAAAAGUAGAUGGGGCAUGUCCAAGCUAUGAAUAGUAGAUGGGAAAGUGUUGAAAUAUUUUGUGUUUCCAUGGUUUGUAAAUGGUAGGAGGUAUAUGUAGUAACCUGUACGGUUUCAAGUGCCAAAUUUCAUGUGUAAAAGUUUGCUAGGGAAUUCUGAUUGUAGAAUCUUGGAAUAAGGGAACAAAAUCCUACAUGUGUCAUAUAUUUAAUUAAUGGAUAAUAAUAACAGACAUGCUUUCAUGA